Molecule: ribosomal RNA, 448 nt
Filed under: uncultured bacterium
Lineage: Bacteria
Description: partial 16S ribosomal RNA
Rfam family: Bacterial small subunit ribosomal RNA
Source: RNAcentral
GCCAGACUCCUACGGGAGGCAGCAGUGGGGGAUAUUGCACAAUGGGGGGAACCCUGAUGCAGCGACGCCGCGUGGGUGAAGGAGCGUUUCGGCGCGUAAAGCCCUAUCGGCAGGGAAGAAGGAGGACGGUACCUGACUAAGAAGCCCCGGCUAACUACGUGCCAGCAGCCGCGGUAAUACGCAGGGGGCAAGCGUUAUCCGGAUUUACUGGGUGUAAAGGGGGCGCAGACGGCAGCGCAAGCCAGGAGUGAAAGCCCGGGGCCCAACCCCGGGACUGCUCUUGGAACUGCGCGGCUGGAGUGCAGGAGGGGCAGGCGGAAUUCCUGGUGUAGCGGUGAAAUGCGUAGAUAUCAGGAGGAACACCGGUGGCGAAGGCGGCCUGCUGGACUGCGACUGACGUUGAGGCCCGAAAGCGUGGGGAGCAAACAGGAUUAGAUACCCCCGUAAC